Mauremys reevesii (Reeves's turtle) is the source of this 428-nucleotide long non-coding RNA. RefSeq lists it as uncharacterized. Lineage: Eukaryota; Metazoa; Chordata; Testudines; Geoemydidae. The record is from RefSeq and is a predicted model, not a curated record. The transcript is spliced from 3 exons.
AGCUGCCUGACUCUGGAACAGUCCUGUAGCAUAUACAUCAGGGUUCCUUUUCCUUGAUGACAGCUCAACAAAUGUGUAUAUGAGUCACUGAAUGCAGGAUACUCUCCUUUAUCUGAAGACCUAUUCAAAGAUCAAGAAUAAAAUUCCAGCUGAAAAGGCAGCCAGUGUUUAAUUUGUACACGAAUCCACUUGGGCAAUUGAUGUUUUGUUUCCAGCUGACAACACUGACAAGAAUAUAUAGUCUUUUGUCUUGUAAUUAUAUUAGCCUGGGAAGAUAGCCCAGUGGAGCAGGUCACACUAUUAUGAUUUCAAAAGAGGUCUUUUCAAAUGCUGAGCUGCUAGAAGUGAAGAAUGCAGUCUGCUAAGCCAGAUAGCUGUGUAACCAAUGGGUGUUGGUCAGCCAUGGAGUUGAAGCAGGAAGACGAUGG